UACGUAGGGCGCAAGCGUUGUCCGGAAUUAUUGGGCGUAAAGAGCUCGUAGGCGGUCUGUUGCGUCUGCCGUGAAAACCCGAGGCUUAACCUCGGGCCUGCGGUGGAUACGGGCGGACUAGAGGUAGGUAGGGGAGAAUGGAAUUCCCGGUGUAGCGGUGAAAUGCGCAGAUAUCGGGAGGAACACCGGUGGCGAAGGCAGGUCUCUGGGCCACUACUGACGCUGAGAAGCGAAAGCAUGGGGAGCGAACAGG
RNAcentral lists this ribosomal RNA (253 nucleotides) under uncultured bacterium. Its description in RNAcentral is "partial 16S ribosomal RNA". It matches the Rfam family "Bacterial small subunit ribosomal RNA", at positions 524 to 776 of the family's 1533-position model. The record is from RNAcentral.